RNAcentral lists this ribosomal RNA (111 nucleotides) under uncultured eukaryote. RNAcentral's name for it is "partial small subunit ribosomal RNA". It matches the Rfam family "Eukaryotic small subunit ribosomal RNA", at positions 1675 to 1785 of the family's 1831-position model. The record is from RNAcentral.
GUCGCUACUACCGAUUGGAUGGUUUAGUGAGGACGUUGGACCGGCAGCCGGCGAGGUUUCCGAGCUGGCACGUCGGGAAGACGUUCGAACUUGAUCAUCUAGAGGGAGUAA